RNAcentral lists this ribosomal RNA (380 nucleotides) under uncultured bacterium. RNAcentral describes it as "bacterial SSU rRNA". It matches the Rfam family "Bacterial small subunit ribosomal RNA", at positions 145 to 507 of the family's 1533-position model. The record is from RNAcentral.
AGCUACUAGAAAUAGUAGAUAAUACCGAAUACGACCACGAGGGGUUAGAGACCUGUGAGGAAAGGAGCUAAGGCNCCGCUGAAAGAGUUGGCCCGCGGCCCAUUAGCUAGUUGGUAGGGUAAAGGCCUACCAAGGCAAUGAUGGGUAUCCGGCCCUGAGAGGGUGAUCGGACACAUUGGGACUGAGAUAACGGCCCAGACUCCCUACGGGAGGGCAGCAGCUAAGAAUAUUCCGCAAUGGACGAAAGUCUGACGGAGCGACGCCGCGUGGAUGAUGAAGGCCGAAAGGUUGUAAAAUCCUUUUGAACUGGAAGAAUAAGUAGAGUAGGGAAUGAUUCUAUGGUGACAGUACAGUUUGAAUAAGCAACGGCUAAUUACGUG